Molecule: ribosomal RNA, 93 nt
Filed under: uncultured bacterium
Lineage: Bacteria
Description: partial 16S ribosomal RNA
Source: RNAcentral
UCAUUAGAUACCCUGGUAGGCUUGACAAUCGUUUUGAUAUGUGCUAUAAUCAUUGAGUAAGUUGCUAAGUGCAUGAAGUCGUAACAAGGUAGC